GCAUAUCAAUAAGCGGAGGAAAAGAAACCAACAGGGAUUGCCCUAGUAACGGCGAGUGAAGCGGCAACAGCUCAAAUUUGAAAUCUGGCCCUCGGGUCCGAGUUUGUAAUUUGUAGAGGAUGCUUUUGGCGCGGUGCCUUCCGAGUUCCCUGGAACGGGACGCCUUAGAGGGUGAGAGCCCCGUACGGUUGGACACCAAGCCUCUGUAAAGCUCCUUCGACGAGUCGAGUAGUUUGGGAAUGCUGCUCUAAAUGGGAGGUAAAUUUCUUCUAAAGCUAAAUAUUGGCCAGAGACCGAUAGCGCACAAGUAGAGUGAUCGAAAGAUGAAAAGCACUUUGAAAAGAGGGUUAAAUAGCACGUGAAAUUGUUGAAAGGGAAGCGUUUGCGACCAGACCUUUUCCUAGGGGAUCAUCCGGUGUUCUCACCGGUGCACUUCCCUAGGUUCAGGCCAGCAUCGGUUUCUGUAGGGGGAUAAAAGCUCUGGGAACGUAGCUCCCUCGGGAGUGUUAUAGCCCUCUGCAUAAUACCCUUACGGGGACCGAGGACCGCGCUUCGGCAAGGAUGCUGGCGUAAUGGUCGUCAACGACCCGUCUUGAAACACGGACCAAGGAGUCGAACAUUUGUGCGAGUGUUUGGGUGUUAAACCCUCACGCGUAAUGAAAGUGAACGGAGGUGAGAGCCCUUACGGGUGCAUCAUCGACCGAUCCUGAUGUCUUCGGAUGGAUUUGAGUAAGAGCAUAACUGUUCGGACCCGAAAGAUGGUGAACUAUGCGUGGAUAGGGUGAAGCCAGAGGAAACUCUGGUGGAGGCUCGCAGCGGUUCUGACGUGCAAAUCGAUCGUCAAAUCUGCGCAUGGGGGCGAAAGACUUAUCGAACCAUCUAGUAGCUGGUUACCGCCGAAGU
RNAcentral lists this ribosomal RNA (903 nucleotides) under Xylaria longipes. RNAcentral describes it as "LSU rRNA". It matches the Rfam family "Eukaryotic large subunit ribosomal RNA", at positions 38 to 967 of the family's 3401-position model. The record is from RNAcentral. Lineage: Eukaryota; Fungi; Ascomycota; Sordariomycetes; Xylariales; Xylariaceae.